This is a long non-coding RNA of Ahaetulla prasina, 392 nucleotides long. RefSeq lists it as uncharacterized. The record is from RefSeq and is a predicted model, not a curated record. The transcript has 3 exons. NCBI's taxonomy places the organism in Eukaryota, Metazoa, Chordata, Lepidosauria, Squamata, Colubridae.
UGCACCGCACAGACAGCUGUUUGGAGCCAUCAAUCUGGUGUGUCAGGAACUGGUUCUUCUUCCUCCAACUGACAUCUGGAAAGGUAUCUGGGGAAGUAUCCACAGGAGUCAUCACGGAGUAAUUUUUCCCCUUUCCAGGCAUGCGUCCAAAAUGGUGACUUUCCUGAAAGAUUUCAAAAGGUGAUCACAUGAUCCUGGGACACUGCAACUGACAUAAAUGCACACCAAACCAAGUGGGUGGCUUGGUGUGUAUCAUGGGAAUGCUACAAUGGUUUCUUGAUUCCUGGCAGCGGCUUGGACCAGUUCCUGCAGUAUCCUUGGAACAAUUUCAAAAGUGGUUUGCCAUUGCUUGUUUCUUAGGACUGAGAUGGCUAGGACAAUUUAAAGUGGGA